RNAcentral lists this unclassified non-coding RNA (324 nucleotides) under fungal sp. Its description in RNAcentral is "partial internal transcribed spacer region". The stretch from base 1 to 46 matches the Rfam family "Eukaryotic small subunit ribosomal RNA", at positions 1786 to 1831 of the family's 1831-position model. The record is from RNAcentral. Lineage: Eukaryota; Fungi.
AAGUCGUAACAAGGUUUCCGUAGGUGAACCUGCGGAAGGAUCAUUACCACGUAAAAAAAAAAUCCAAACCUUUUUUCAUCCAACCCGUCCCUUUGUGAAUUUGGAAAAUAUCAAAAACAAAAAGAUAGAGAGCAACGUGUGUGUGUGUGUGUGAGGAGAGCAUUGGCUCGUUCAUUGCCUCUCCUCACAUUCACCGCUCCCUCCCUCUCUGUCUUUUAUUUUGAAACCCCAUUGUCCGAUUUGAAAAUUCUUGUUCAAACAGACAUCAAAAAACAACAAAAAAAAACCAUGAGACAACUUUUAACGGUGGAUCUCUUGGCUCGU